CUCCGGGAAACCGGGGCUAAUACCGGAUGGUUGUCUGAACCGCAUGGUUCAGACAUAAAAGGUGGCUUCGGCUACCACUUACAGAUGGACCCGCGGCGCAUUAGCUAGUUGGUGAGGUAACGGCUCACCAAGGCGACGAUGCGUAGCCGACCUGAGAGGGUGAUCGGCCACACUGGGACUGAGACACGGCCCAGACUCCUACGGGAGGCAGCAGUAGGGAAUCUUCCGCAAUGGACGAAAGUCUGACGGAGCAACGCCGCGUGAGUGAUGAAGGUUUUCGGAUCGUAAAGCUCUGUUGUUAGGGAAGAACAAGUGCCGUUCAAAUAGGGCGGCACCUUGACGGUACCUAACCAGAAAGCCACGGCUAACUACGUGCCAGCAGCCGCGGUAAUACGUAGGUGGCAAGCGUUGUCCGGAAUUAUUGGGCGUAAAGGGCUCGCAGGCGGU
RNAcentral lists this ribosomal RNA (447 nucleotides) under Bacillus velezensis. Its description in RNAcentral is "bacterial SSU rRNA". It matches the Rfam family "Bacterial small subunit ribosomal RNA", at positions 147 to 579 of the family's 1533-position model. Lineage: Bacteria; Bacillati; Bacillota; Bacilli; Caryophanales; Bacillaceae. The record is from RNAcentral.